CAUCAGUGAUGAGCUGCCACUUCAUGGUCCGUGUUUUUGAAACUCUGAUAUUAAAAGAAGUUCUGAGUUU
Small nucleolar RNA from Cottoperca gobio, 70 nucleotides. Its record names the gene SNORD18. It matches the Rfam family "Small nucleolar RNA SNORD18". Rfam says of the family: U18 is a member of the C/D class of snoRNA which contain the C (UGAUGA) and D (CUGA) box motifs. The record is from Ensembl. NCBI's taxonomy places the organism in Eukaryota, Metazoa, Chordata, Actinopteri, Perciformes, Bovichtidae.